AUGGACAUGGGUAGCCAUCUCCUCCUCACCGUUGUUGUUAGCCUCCAUGCAUUUAUGCACACUGCCAGCAGCGACGAAUUCAUCUUCAACGGCUUCUCCGAGGAAAAUCUAAAGCUGAGUGGUCAAGCUUCUAUGGUAGGCCGUGCUAUAAGGCUCAUCGGUGGCGUCACCCUGACAGAAGGGGAUGCUUUCUACAGCAGGCCCCUCGAUUUCAGUAGUAACUCCGGUGGUGGUGGAGCCUCCUUCUCAACAACUUUCGUGUUCGCCAUCAACUCUGACACCACCGAAGCUCCUGGCAUAGCCUUCGUGCUCUCUUCCACCAUGGAGCUGCAACAUCUGCACAACAACUCAUUGGUUCAGGGCCAGCUGGGUUUCGCUGAUGUAGGAGAUACAUCGCUCACCGGCACUUGGUCAAGUGGCACGUGA
RNAcentral lists this ribosomal RNA (426 nucleotides) under Triticum aestivum (bread wheat). RNAcentral's name for it is "partial small subunit ribosomal RNA". The record is from RNAcentral. Lineage: Eukaryota; Viridiplantae; Streptophyta; Magnoliopsida; Poales; Poaceae.